UAAAGGGGUGCUCCUAUGUAAAGGAUGCUUAUAAACAAAAGAAUUUGUUAUUUGUUCAUUUAUAUGUCUUACUUAGUCAGGACUUUAAGCAGUAAAUAUCAUUUUAAAACUGAAUUGAGUCAGUAAAUUCGGGAAGCUGAUUAUGCUAAGAAAUAUUGGAUAUUGGUCUAUUGAAUGGGGAAACCAGCAUGUACCUAUUUGCACAUGGAUAACUAUUCUUCGUGACUAUAUCCGGGACCGGAGAUCGGUUUUUAAAACGCUUGAAAGAUUCAGAUGAAUGAUGCAAAGAAGACGCCGGUAGCCAACUGACAACAACUUGAACAAGUACUUGUUUCUGUUUAUUUAAUGAGACAAACACAAUCAAGGAGUUAUGAACGCAUAGAUACUCGAGGAAAUAAUACAGCAGUACAUUGUAUUACAACAAAUGGACAGAGGAUCCGGAGUUGACUAUUGAUAGUGACUGAUAAUGGACUGGAGUAACCUAGCGUCCAAUGACUCUGAACAUGCCAGACAGUACUGGCAUGUGUACAUGUAUGUCGACAGCCAAUUCUAAGUAACCUUAAACGUAUACAUUGUAUAUACAAAAGACCUACAAUAAUGAAUUAGCUCCUGAGAUGUCAGUGGAAUGGAAGUAAUACACAUCAUAUGUUUCAAUGAAAUUAACAUGAUUAAUGAUGGGAUAAGACGUAGAGAAGAUCCUAUAGCUACAGUACAUGUACAUGUAACUGCAAAUGUAUUCCAAGAGUUUAUGGCUGAUUAUGCAACUACAGGAUUUUAUCAUUGAAGCAACAUCUUAGAAGGAUAAGUGCAAAUGUAUGAAGGAAUCCUUGUGUACAAAUACAUGUAGCAAUUACAUGCAGGAGAGGACACUUAAACAUUACUAACAUGUAGUCAUGAUAUUGGAGUGGUGCAUUCUAGAAAUCUAAACACCUGGAAUUAAAUAUUGUGUAUAUUUUUUUUCAAGCACAAGUACCUUCAGCAUAUAAUACAAUUCAUAUUCAAAUUAUUGUGUCAACAUGACAGUUACUUUCUAAAAAUGGAAAAUGCUUGUUUUAAAAUGAAUUUUAUAUAAAUAUUUUAAAUAACAAGAAUUUUUAGCUUAUUGUGAAGCCAAACUUUGAGAUCUUUUAAUGGUAUAUGCCUGUUGUUUGUCAACAUUUAUUUUCUUUUUGACUUCGCCUUAAGAUCAGUGUUAAUAUGAAAAACUGAAAACCAUAUAUGAAAUAAGAAG
Long non-coding RNA from Mytilus californianus (California mussel), 1231 nucleotides. RefSeq lists it as uncharacterized. The transcript is spliced from 4 exons. NCBI's taxonomy places the organism in Eukaryota, Metazoa, Mollusca, Bivalvia, Mytilida, Mytilidae. The record is from RefSeq and is a predicted model, not a curated record.